ACUCAUCAACCCUGUGAACAUACCUAAAACGUUGCUUCGGCGGGAACAGACGGCCCCGUAACACGGGCCGCCCCCGCCAGAGGACCCCUAACUCUGUUUUUAUAAUGUUUUUCUGAGUAAACAAGCAAAUAAAUUAAAACUUUCAACAACGGAUCUCUUGGCUCUGGCAUCGAUGAAGAACGCAGCGAAAUGCGAUAAGUAAUGUGAAUUGCAGAAUUCAGUGAAUCAUCGAAUCUUUGAACGCACAUUGCGCCCGCCAGUAUUCUGGCGGGCAUGCCUGUUCGAGCGUCAUUACAACCCUCAGGCCCCCGGGCCUGGCGUUGGGGAUCGGCGGAAGCCCCCUGCGGGCACACGCCGUCCCUCAAAAACAGUGGCGGUCCCGCCGCAGCUUCCAUUGCGUAGUAGCUAACACCUCGCAACUGGAGAGCGGCGCGGCCAUGCCGUAAAACACCCAACUUCUGAAAUGUUGACCUCGAAUCAGGUAGGAAUACC
RNAcentral lists this ribosomal RNA (492 nucleotides) under Fusarium solani. RNAcentral's name for it is "eukaryotic LSU rRNA". The stretch from base 138 to 291 matches the Rfam family "5.8S ribosomal RNA". Lineage: Eukaryota; Fungi; Ascomycota; Sordariomycetes; Hypocreales; Nectriaceae. The record is from RNAcentral.